CCUACGGGGGGCAGCAGUGGGGAAUAUUGGACAAUGGGGGCAACCCUGAUCCAGCCAUGCCGCGUGUGUGAAGAAGGCCCUCGGGUUGUAAAGCACUUUCAGUGAGGAAGAACGCCUGGUGGUUAAUACCCAUCAGGAAAGACAUCACUCACAGAAGAAGCACCGGCUAACUCCGUGCCAGCAGCCGUGGUAAUACGGAGGGUGCGAGCGUUAAUCGGAAUUACUGGGCGUAAAGCGCGCGUAGGUGGCUUGAUAAGCCGGUUGUGAAAGCCCCGGGCUCAACCUGGGAACGGCAUCCGGAACUGUCAAGCUAGAGUGCAGGAGAGGAAGGUAGAAUUCCCGGUGUAGCGGUGAAAUGCGUAGAGAUCGGGAGGAAUACCAGUGGCGAAGGCGGCCUUCUGGACUGACACUGACACUGAGGUGCGAAAGCGUGGGUAGCAAACAGGAUUAGAUACCCGGGUAGUC
Molecule: ribosomal RNA, 465 nt
Filed under: Vreelandella stevensii
Lineage: Bacteria; Pseudomonadati; Pseudomonadota; Gammaproteobacteria; Oceanospirillales; Halomonadaceae
Description: partial 16S ribosomal RNA
Rfam family: Bacterial small subunit ribosomal RNA
Source: RNAcentral